Molecule: long non-coding RNA, 255 nt
Organism: Sinocyclocheilus grahami
Lineage: Eukaryota; Metazoa; Chordata; Actinopteri; Cypriniformes; Cyprinidae
Exons: 3
Source: RefSeq, a predicted model, not a curated record
AGAGAAAGCGAUGACCUUAAGAAGAUGGUGAUGGAGUACCAGUCUUAUUCCAACCAAAUAGAAUUCCUCCAGGAAAUGAACAAAACAUUGUAUGACAGCAAUGAUGGGUUACGCUCUGCACUGAGCCAGGAUAAUGCCUCUAUGAAAAGACGGCUCUCACCAAAAAAUGAAGUUCCUCCUAGGAAGAUGAAACCACUUCGACAGAGUACAAUGAAUCAGAGCGGGUAAUUAUAUACUUUGUUUACUCUCUAUUUG